Papaver somniferum (opium poppy) is the source of this 2121-nucleotide long non-coding RNA. RefSeq lists it as uncharacterized. The record is from RefSeq and is a predicted model, not a curated record. NCBI's taxonomy places the organism in Eukaryota, Viridiplantae, Streptophyta, Magnoliopsida, Ranunculales, Papaveraceae. The transcript is spliced from 8 exons.
UUCUAACAGAGGCUCAUUAUUUCUCACUCCUCUAGAUGCGCCUCUUUUCUCCGUCUUCUUUAACUCCCCACCAAAUUGAAAUCUAAAACAAAUCAUAAGAAAUUACUAUAAUCAUUGCUGCUAAACCCAAACCUUUUCUCCAUCUUCCUGAUCUCCUCCACAAAAUCCAAGUUAUUCCAUGAACCCAAUCUAAUCCUGUAACCACUGAACAAACCAAAGGGGUACCAUUCAUUCCUCGUGAACCAUUUUCUUCUUUUCGUCUUUGUUGUUAACGUUUGUAACUUACCGAUCUUCUUGUAUUUUAUUAGAGAGUUUCGUUUUAUACAGUUUCUGUUCAGAUUUGAAAAGAAAUUAGGAAUUUGUUCUAGGAUUUUUUUAGGGUUUUUGUAAAUUGUAUUUGUAGAAAUUUUCAUUGAUUUUUCUUUUGAUUUCGUAUCAGAUUCUUUGGGUUGAGUUUCUGUGUAUUUCAAUUUCUGAUUUGCUUCACUUUGAAGCAUACAAGUUUUUUUGACUUUCUUCUUUGCUGAACUUAUUUUGAAAAACAUUAAAGUUAUUUUGAUUUACUUACUGUAUGCAUUAAACUUAUGGUGAAAUUUUGCUAAUUUCGCUUAGUUUUUAUGUUUUUAAAUUAUUAGUUAGUCAAAGGAGAUUGAGGAUAUGGCUAAGAAGGUAAAUGAUUUAUGACUUAUGUGAGACAGAGCAAGUUAUUUGGGUCGAGGGGACAAAUAUAGGCGGUGAAAGGUUCACCUAACCAAGAUGAGAAGCUGAAACCUGUUGGUUCAUGCCCAAAAAGGGAUUACAUUAAACAAAUGCAUAAGGAUAAUAGUGGCUCUUCGGAGGGUUAUUUCUGUAUUAUCAACUAGAAGAAUGCAAGGAGAGCUGUAAUAACACCAAUUUUAUUUCAAAACCAAGCUAAGUAUUAUUGCUCCAUUAGUUUUUUAUAUUGUAUCCAUAUGGUUCUUAGUAUUAUUGUGUAACUGUUGGUGGUUCAUAAAAUUCUUGUUUGAAAAUUCAGGGAGAAGUCCAAAUCAGCUGGAAACUUUGGCAAGGUUAUGCGCAUACCGGUGUGGUGUCUUUAGCCGCAUGGUUCUGCUGGGAAACAGUUUUUUAGUUAGCAUCAAGGAGAAUACAAGGAGGUGGAAAUACUGGAAAUGCGUUAACUUGUGAUGCUCGCGUGGGACUGAAAUCUGGAUUCUUUAUAAGAUACUUUACUCAUAUCUCCAUUCCAAGUUUGAAUUCCUAAGACCUUAUGCUGGUUUGCUGCUUGUGAGUGAAAGCAUAUGAGUUAUAAUCUUUUACCUCGUAACUUAACUUGGCCAGUUAAAUAAGCUCACUGCAUAGAGUUUUCGAGGCUUUUUGAGAGGAAAUGCUACUCAACUUGCUACUUUACGCCUCCAUUACAACACUUCAUAACAGUGCACCUACAUUCCAAGUUCGAGCCUUACAGGCAUGACCUUUGUCUGUUCAUUAGUUGAAGAUCUUAGCAUGUUGCUUAAGAAUCUUUAGUCUUAAGUCACGUACAUCUUUGGUGAAUAUAAUUGUAGAUGCCAAGAUGGUGGUGCUCUAAUGGCUUAGUCAAACAUCUACAAGCUCCCCCAUUCAUUUCAGACAUUGAAUCAUCUCUUAAUUACGCCUUUUUCGAACAAGAGAGCAAUGGCAUUUGCUCUUGGACUACUAGCUCUCAAGUUGAAGGAUCUUAGCAUGUUGCUUAAGAAGCUUUAGUCUUCAGUCAGUUACAUCUUUGGUGAAUAUAAUUGUAGAUGCAUAGAUGGUGGUGCUCUAAUGGCUUAGUCAAACAUCUACAAGAUCCCCCAUUCAUUUCAGACAUUGAAUCAUCUCCUAAUUAAGCCCUUUUCGGACACGAGAGUAAGGGCUUUUGCUCUUGGACUACUAGAUCUCAAGAUAAUAAAGUUUAUUCGUUGUUAAUAAGUAAUAACAUAAUCCAGAAAACAAAUGGGUGACCCAGCUGAAUGUUGAUCAUUUAUUUCCAGCAUCUUAAAGUCCUCCAGCAUCUUAAUAGCCAUCCAUAUCUCUGAUUCUUUAAUAUGUGCAUUGUAUCUCAAGCAUAACACUGGAAUAGUAACACCUUUAAUCUACAACUUAUCUUUUUUCUUGCUUUCA